UCCCUGGUGGUCCGGUGUUAAGACUCCGCACUAUCAAUGCAGGGCCCCAGGUUCGAUCCCUGGUCAGGGAA
This 71-nucleotide transfer RNA is filed under the name Bos taurus (domestic cattle). It matches the Rfam family "tRNA". Rfam says of the family: Transfer RNA (tRNA) molecules are approximately 80 nucleotides in length. Their secondary structure includes four short double-helical elements and three loops (D, anti-codon, and T loops). Lineage: Eukaryota; Metazoa; Chordata; Mammalia; Artiodactyla; Bovidae. RNAcentral also lists the same sequence under 4 other names. The record is from Rfam by way of RNAcentral.